RNAcentral lists this ribosomal RNA (291 nucleotides) under uncultured bacterium. Its description in RNAcentral is "partial 16S ribosomal RNA". It matches the Rfam family "Bacterial small subunit ribosomal RNA", at positions 28 to 314 of the family's 1533-position model. The record is from RNAcentral.
GACGAACGCUAGCGGCGUGCCUAAUGUAUGCAAGUCGAGCGGGGUGAGCGACUUCGGUCGCUUGCCUAGCGGCAAACGGUUGAGUAACACGUAGGCAACCUGCCCCAGAGGACGGGAUAGCCCGCCGAAAGGCGGAUUAAUACCGGAUGUGGCCGAGGAGGGCAUGCGUCCCUUGGGGCUAAAGGUGGCAACACGCUCUGGGAUGGGCCUGCGGCCUAUCAGCUAGUUGGGGGGUAACGGCUCACCAAGGCGACGACGGGUAGCUGGUCUGAGAGGAUGGUCAGCCAGACA